GAUGAACGCUGGCGGCGUGCCUAAUACAUGCAAGUCGAGCGAACGUACGAGGAGCUUGCUCCUCUGACGUUAGCGGCGGACGGGUGAGUAACACGUGGAUAACCUACCUAUAAGACUGGGAUAACUUCGGGAAACCGGAGCUAAUACCGGAUAAUAUAUUUAACCGCAUGGUUCAAUAGUGAAAGACGGUUUUGCUGUCACUUAUAGAUGGAUCCGCGCCGCAUUAGCUAGUUGGUAAGGUAACGGCUUACCAAGGCAACGAUGCGUAGCCGACCUGAGAGGGUGAUCGGCCACACUGGAACUGAGACACGGUCCAGACUCCUACGGGAGGCAGCAGUAGGGAAUCUUCCGCAAUGGGCGAAAGCCUGACGGAGCAACGCCGCGUGAGUGAUGAAGGUCUUCGGAUCGUAAAACUCUGUUAUUAGGGAAGAACAAAUGUGUAAGUAACUAUGCACGUCUUGACGGUACCUAAUCAGAAAGCCACGGCUAACUACGUG
RNAcentral lists this ribosomal RNA (497 nucleotides) under uncultured bacterium. Its description in RNAcentral is "partial 16S ribosomal RNA". It matches the Rfam family "Bacterial small subunit ribosomal RNA", at positions 28 to 507 of the family's 1533-position model. The record is from RNAcentral.